CCUACGGGGGGCAGCAGUGAGGAAUAUUGGUCAAUGGGCUUACGCCUGAACCAGCCAAGUCGCGUGAGGGAAGACUGCCCUAUGGGUUGUAAACCUCUUCUGUCAGGGAGCAAUUGGCGCGACGUGUAGCGUUAUCGAGAGUACCUGAAGAAAAAGCAUCGGCGAACUCCGUGCCAGCAGCCGCGGUAAUAGGGAGGAUGCGUGCGUUAUCGGGAUUUAUUGGGUUUAAAGGGUGCGUAGGCGGAAUGCCAAGUCAGCGUGAAAAGCGCGGGGCUCAACCUCGCUCCGCCGUUGAAACUGGCGUUCUUGAGUGGGCGAGAGGUAAGCGGAAUGCGUGGUGUAGCGGUGAAAUGCAUAGAUAUCACGCAGAACUCCGGUUGCGAAGGCAGCAUACCGGCGCCCAACUGACGCUGAGGCACGAAAGCGUGGGUAUCGAACAGGAUUAGAUACCCCAGUAGUC
This 460-nucleotide ribosomal RNA is filed under the name uncultured bacterium. RNAcentral's name for it is "partial 16S ribosomal RNA". It matches the Rfam family "Bacterial small subunit ribosomal RNA", at positions 338 to 795 of the family's 1533-position model. The record is from RNAcentral.